Molecule: transfer RNA, 78 nt
Filed under: Candidatus Omnitrophota bacterium
Lineage: Bacteria; Pseudomonadati; Candidatus Omnitrophota
Description: tRNA-Asp
Rfam family: tRNA
About the family: Transfer RNA (tRNA) molecules are approximately 80 nucleotides in length.
Source: RNAcentral
GGGGACGUAGCGUAGCUGGCUUAACGCGAUAGAUUGUCGAUCUAUAGAUCGCGGGUUCGAAUCCCGUCGUCCCCGCCA